GAAAUGCGAUACGUGAUGUGAUCUGCAUUCUCGUGAAUCAUCGAAUCUUUGAACGCAAAUGGCGCUCGACCACUUGUGGCCGAGCAUGUCUGUUUGAGGGUCAGUUUUACCUGCUUCAUAACUCUUUUUUCUUUUUGGAAAAGAGAUAUGAGACGAUGGGAUUUCAGAGGGAACUCACUCUUUGAUCUCCUGAAACAUAUGUAUAACGUGCGCCAGGAAAAGCAACCAAAAAGGAGAUAUGGUCCGAGGCCCCGACUUUUUUACGGGGCCGUCAACAACGGAAGCAUAACUCCCUUUUUUGCUUUUUCGAAUGCAAAAAGUUUGGGAGGGAUCAAACCCAACCAUAACACAAAACAAAAAACGAAUGACCUCAAAUCAGGCAAGAGCACCCGCUGAACUUAA
RNAcentral lists this unclassified non-coding RNA (402 nucleotides) under uncultured Wallemia. RNAcentral's name for it is "sequence contains ITS1". The stretch from base 1 to 103 matches the Rfam family "5.8S ribosomal RNA", at positions 50 to 154 of the family's 154-position model. The record is from RNAcentral. Lineage: Eukaryota; Fungi; Basidiomycota; Wallemiomycetes; Wallemiales; Wallemiaceae.